RNAcentral lists this unclassified non-coding RNA (328 nucleotides) under Hevea brasiliensis (rubber tree). The record is from RNAcentral. Lineage: Eukaryota; Viridiplantae; Streptophyta; Magnoliopsida; Malpighiales; Euphorbiaceae.
CUUCUUCUUCUUCUUCUUCUUCAAAGACCAAUAGUUUUCACAAUUUGAUCCAAACCCAUUUUGUUUUGCACCUCAUAUUUCCUUGUUCUUGAAGUCAGUCAACAGAAAGAAAUUCAAAAAAAAAAAUCUAUACAUAAAUAAAAAUUUAGAAAGGGAAAGAAUUAUUAAAAAAAAAAGAGAAAAGAAAAUUAUAAGACCCUUGUGGAUUUGUUUAGCUACAAAGUCCUGUGAUCAUCGAUGCACCAUUGGUAGUGCGGGGGGAUCUUCUAUUCUUAUUUUCUUGCUUGUGAUUGACUGAUGUCCCUCUAGUCUUGAGAGAGAGAGAGAG